This 45-nucleotide non-coding RNA is filed under the name Echinostoma caproni. Lineage: Eukaryota; Metazoa; Platyhelminthes; Trematoda; Plagiorchiida; Echinostomatidae. The record is from RNAcentral.
GCAUUGCUGACGAGUUCCAAAAAGGACGAAACGGUUGUCCGGUGC